GAUGAACGCUGGCGGCGUGCCUAAUACAUGCAAGUCGAGCGAACAGACGAGGAGCUUGCUCCUCUGACGUUAGCGGCGGACGGGUGAGUAACACGUGGAUAACCUACCUAUAAGACUGGGAUAACUUCGGGAAACCGGAGCUAAUACCGGAUAAUAUAUUUAACCGCAUGGUUCAAUAGUGAAAGACGGUUUUGCUGUCACUUAUAGAUGGAUCCGCGCCGCAUUAGCUAGUUGGUAAGGUAACGGCUUACCAAGGCAACGAUGCGUAGCCGACCUGAGAGGGUGAUAGGCCACACUGGAACUGAGAAACGGUCCAGACUCCUACGGGAGGCAGCAGUAGGGAAUCUUCCGCAAUGGGCGAAAGCCUGACGGAGCAACGCCGCGUGAGUGAUGAAGGUCUUCGGAUCGUAAAACUCUGUUAUUAGGGAAGAACAAAUGUGUAAGUAACUAUGCACGUCUUGACGGUACCUAAUCAGAAAGCCACGGCUAACUACGUG
RNAcentral lists this ribosomal RNA (497 nucleotides) under uncultured bacterium. RNAcentral describes it as "partial 16S ribosomal RNA". It matches the Rfam family "Bacterial small subunit ribosomal RNA", at positions 28 to 507 of the family's 1533-position model. The record is from RNAcentral.